This 1212-nucleotide long non-coding RNA is filed under the name Mustela putorius furo (domestic ferret). RNAcentral describes it as "lncRNA (ENSMPUG00000031956.1)". The record is from RNAcentral. Lineage: Eukaryota; Metazoa; Chordata; Mammalia; Carnivora; Mustelidae.
AUGAUGCCUCCUCACUCCAUCCCUGGCCUCAGAAUUUGGAAGUUGUCUCACCCCAAAACAAAUCAUAAUAAAAGUUCCCACCUGCCAAGCAGACAUGCUCAUAAUAGUCAAACUGUUAACUAUUUGAAUCUGACUAUUGACUAUCUAUCUCUGCCAAAGCAAACCUGUAGAGUCUGGAAGAGGAACCUGAUUACUCAAAUCCACAGACAACAACAUAAGGAAUCAAGGAUCACAAAAAGCAGGAGCUGUGGCUUGCUGCUGCUUCCCAGCAUCACUGACAUUAUGGUCCUGCAUAUCACUAGCCCUGAAAAAGAUCAAAACUCAAAAUUUGAAGUACAGUUUCUACUGAAUACCUACCACUUUUACACCACUGUGAAGUUAAAAAAUCCUAAGUUGAUCCAUCAUAAACUGGGGACUGUUUUGCUAGAAACUACUUUCCAUAAUUAUUCCACAAGCAUCACUUUCAUUUUCCUUCAAAUUUCCUAGGAAUUCUUAAACAACUUCAGAGUACUUAUACUUCAAAAUUUUCUGAAAAAAUUACACUGAUAAUAUAGCAUAUUGACAUUUUUUUUCAAUCUGAUGUGUCUUACAUCUACUGAAGUAAAUUAAUGUUUUUUUUUAAGAUUUUAUUUAUUUAUUUGACAGAGAUCACAAGUAGGCAGAGAGGCAGGCAGAGAGAGAAGGGGGGAAGCAGGGUCCCCACUGAGCAGAGAGCCUGAUAUGGGUGUUGAUCCCAGGACUCUGGGAUCAUGAUCUGAGCCAAAGGCAGAGGUUUUAACCCACUAAGCCACCUAGGCACCCCAAAUUAAUGUUUUUUUUGUUGUUUUUUAAAGAUUUUAUUAUUUGACACAGAGCACACGUGUGCACAAGCGGGGGGAGCGGCAAUUAGAGGGAGAAGCAGGUAGAAGAAGUAGACUCCCCGCUGAGCAAAGAGCCAUUCGUAGGGCUCCAUUCUAGGACCUUGGAUCACGACCAGAGCCCAAGGCAGACACUUAACGGACUGAGCCACCCAGGUGCCCCAAAUUAAUGUUAUCUUGAUUAACACCUUUGGUAGAAGUAAAUUUAGGAGCCAAAGAACAAGCCUAUCUGUGUCUUCAUUAGCAAAAUUCUGUGUUUUGGUGUCCCUUACUUUAACUUUGAGAUAAAUGUGCCAAGGUAUUCUUCCUUUCUGGUUGUGCAUGGUCAGUAUUGGUCUUAUUCUGGCAUUUUUCU